AUACGGAGGGUGCGAGCGUUACUCGGAGUCACUGGGCGUAAAGCGUCCGUAGGCGGUCGGGUAAGUCGGGUGUGAAAGCCCCGGGCUCAACCUGGGAAGUGCACCCGAUACUGCUCGACUCGAGUGCGGGAGAGGAUGGCGGAAUUCCCGGUGUAGCGGUGAAAUGCGUAGAGAUCGGGAGGAACACCAGUGGCGAAGGCGGCCAUCUGGCCCGCAACUGACGCUGAGGGACGAAAGCGUGGGGAGCAAACAGGAUUAGAUACCCUUGUAGUCC
This 274-nucleotide ribosomal RNA is filed under the name uncultured bacterium. Its description in RNAcentral is "partial 16S ribosomal RNA". It matches the Rfam family "Bacterial small subunit ribosomal RNA", at positions 523 to 796 of the family's 1533-position model. The record is from RNAcentral.